GCCGGGCAUGGUGGUGCACGCCUGUAAUCCCAGCUACUCAGGAGGCUGAGGCAGGAGAAUCACUUGAACCCGGGAGGUGGAGGUUGCAGUGAGCCAAGAUCGUGCCACUGCACUCCAGCCUGGGCAACAGAGUGAGAUUCUGUCUCAA
Molecule: non-coding RNA, 148 nt
Filed under: Homo sapiens (human)
Lineage: Eukaryota; Metazoa; Chordata; Mammalia; Primates; Hominidae
Source: Rfam by way of RNAcentral